Long non-coding RNA from Anguilla anguilla (European eel), 422 nucleotides. RefSeq lists it as uncharacterized. The record is from RefSeq and is a predicted model, not a curated record. NCBI's taxonomy places the organism in Eukaryota, Metazoa, Chordata, Actinopteri, Anguilliformes, Anguillidae. The transcript is spliced from 4 exons.
CCACGCAGACUUCCUUUCCGAGCUGGGUGCGUAACGAGUGACUGGGCUGGUCGCUUACGUUAAGGGUCUGGGCAUAGCUAGUAGGCUAUAUACUUAUUAUAAAUAAUGCAUGUUACGGCAUCACAGGCGUGGUUUGGUCUGAAACCUCCUUAAACGGAUUGGAAAGAAGAUCUGAUCUCCGAGAGAUGGAUCCUAAUCCCGUCCUCGCAUAUCCCGUUUCUGUCUUCAUGGUCAUAGCCAGCGAGGAGACCAGGAAGUGUGUUUCAAUGUGUUGACCUGGAAGAGAUUCCCUGAAUUAUGCAGGGUGGGAGAUGGAGGAUGGGUCGCCUACAGUCACUGAUUCAAACUGAGUGAUUGCAAUAAUGGUCAUCUUGGCCACGUGCCAGUUCUUGCAUCAAAGUGAAUGCAAAGGUAACUAAUUC